UUCAUUUUGUAAACAUAGAGGCAGAGCUUCGCUGUGAAAGUACCCAGAGCAAAUCAUUAUCCUACGCCUAUAACUUCCAGGUUAGGACUAGUUCCUGUCCUUUAUCGGAAUCUCUCGAUUGGAAACUUAUUGCAUUGAAGCACAAAUGCAGAUGGCUAGAGGAUUAUAAUUAUAUCUUCCUUCUCAUUGCUGAGUUGCUGUAGAAAAGCAGGAUUUCAAUCUUUAAGACUUUUUAGAUUUUAGCUACGGAGAUGAUUUCAGAAGAGGAUACAGUUGAGAAGAUCCUAAAACUUGGCCAAGGAAAUGAAAAAGUGGUGCAGAUAGGGAUAUAGUCAAGGCUUGUAUCAAAUUAUUUAUUUUUUUUCAAGGGCACAUCCUAAAUUUGGGUUGCUUUGAGUCAAGCUCGCUCAUGUUUUUAGUGAUCAUAAAAUAUUCUGGGAAUUCUUCGGAUGGAAAUAUCUCAGUUUGGUGGUUGGGAGACGACUAAGAUUGAUCAAGCACACCCUGGGGCCUGUGGGUGCAACUUCAGUUUCUUGGGCACCAGUGACAGCUCCUGGAGCUCUAGUAAGAUCUGGUUUACUUGUUCCUGUUCAGAAGCUUGUUUCUGGUGGUUGUGAUAAUACUGUGAAGGUUUGGAAACUUUACAAUGGAACAUGGAAGAUGGAUUGCUUCCUGGCUCUUCAGAUGGGUAAGGAUUGGGUGAAGGAUGUGUCUUGGGUGGGUAUCAAAUCUAGGACUUCCAAAAUCAACUGUUGCAAGUGCUUCGGCAGGAUGGAACUUUUACUGUACGGACUGUCGCAGAUCUGUGGGAAGGCAAAGUUUUGAAGGAUUUUAAUACUCCUGUUCAGAGAAUUUCGUGAUCUCUUACUGGUAAUACUUGGAUGUGGCUGAUGGUACAAUACAACACUGUUACAUUCUCGAAAGAAGCAGUUGUUGGAGAAUGGCAGCAGAUGGUGCUCCCUUUCUGCGGUAUAGGUUGAGGAACCAUGAUUUCAUGCCCUUGUGGAUAAUAGGCAUUCUGAGGAUUGAAGUGAUGAACUAUUUAGUAAUCCGAAAAAUGAACUGGCAUGAAAUUGAUGACAGAUGGUGCUCCCUUUCCGCAGUGUAGGUUGAGGAACCAUGAUUCCAUGCCCUUGUGGAUAAUAGGCAUUCUGAGGAUUGAAGGAUUAGAGUUAUGUCUUCCUUCUCAUUGCUAAGUUGUUGUAGAAAAGCAAGUUUUCAGGCUUGCGACUUUUCAAUGGUCUCAGAAGAGGAUACAGAGCCUAAAACUUGGCCUUGGAAAUGAAAAACUGGUGGAGAAUGGGAUAUGGUCAAGCAAUACAUCUUAUCAAAUUAUUUAAUUUUUAAUUUUUGCCUUUUCUUUUCAAGGGCACAUCCUAAUAUUGUGUCAUCUUGUUCUUAUGAUGGGAAAGUGGUUAUCUGGGGUGAGGUAUGUGUCUUGGGUACCAAAUCUAGGGAUUCCAGAAUCAACUGUUGCAAGUGCUUCCACAGGAUGGAACUGUUAUUAUAUGGACUGUCGCAAAAGAAGGUGAUCUGUGGGAAGCCAAAGUUUUGAAGGAUUUUAAUACGUCUCUUACUGGUAAUAUUCGGAUGUGGCUGAUGGUAACAACAAUGUUACAUUCUCGAAAGAAGCAGUUGGUGGAGAAUGGCAGCAGGAUUGAAAGUUUUAUCGUCUCCUCAUUCCUGAGUUGUGGCAUUGGUUUUCGAAAGGUAGGAGGAUCCGAAUCUCAAAACUUAUAAGAUUGUAGUAAAGCCUAAAACUCCGAAAAAAGGAAAUGAGAAAGUAGUGCAGAUAGGGAUAUGGUCAAGGCAUACAUUGUAUCAGAUGAAGGAACAAGUAUAGAGAAUUUGCCGUAAGUUUUGUGUUGCAUAUACUUCUUGUUUUUGUAUAAUUGAUAAUUAUAACAUAGUUUUAAGCAUUUAA
Long non-coding RNA from Papaver somniferum (opium poppy), 1924 nucleotides. RefSeq lists it as uncharacterized. The record is from RefSeq and is a predicted model, not a curated record. The transcript has 6 exons. Lineage: Eukaryota; Viridiplantae; Streptophyta; Magnoliopsida; Ranunculales; Papaveraceae.